AUGAAAGCAACAUCCAGAAGGACGAAGAAUAUUAUCCCUAGUCUGUGCGUUGAUGUUGUUGACAUUGCUGAUCAAACUAAGGAGGAGGAAUGUAUCUGGUCGAGAUCUGCUGCCUUGAACUUCAAUGCUCUAGGUUUUCAGCCUUGCGACCUUUCUCACCUGGACAACAACUUUACUGAGAAGGAAAUAAAGAGUGCUAUUUUUGAUCUUCACCCAGAAAAAGCUCCCGGGCCUGAUGGAUUUACUGGGCACUUCUUUCGAAGUUGCUGGGACACCGUGAAGCCGGAUCUAUUGGCCGCUUUCUCUCACUUCUAG
This 315-nucleotide ribosomal RNA is filed under the name Triticum aestivum (bread wheat). Its description in RNAcentral is "partial small subunit ribosomal RNA". Lineage: Eukaryota; Viridiplantae; Streptophyta; Magnoliopsida; Poales; Poaceae. The record is from RNAcentral.